UACGUAGGGGGCAAGCGUUGUCCGGAAUUAUUGGGCGUAAAGGGCUCGUAGGCGGCCAACUAAGUCAGACGUGAAAUCCCUCGGCUUAACCGGGGAGCGGCCUCUGAUACUGGAUGGCUUGAGUUCGGGAGAGGGAUGCGGAAUUCCAGGUGUAGCGGUGAAAUGCGUAGAUAUCUGGAGGAACACCGGUGGCGAAGGCGGCAUCCUGGACCGACACUGACGCUGAGGAGCGAAAGCCAGGGGAGCAAACGGG
Molecule: ribosomal RNA, 253 nt
Filed under: uncultured bacterium
Lineage: Bacteria
Description: partial 16S ribosomal RNA
Rfam family: Bacterial small subunit ribosomal RNA
Source: RNAcentral